This 233-nucleotide ribosomal RNA is filed under the name uncultured bacterium. RNAcentral describes it as "partial 16S ribosomal RNA". It matches the Rfam family "Bacterial small subunit ribosomal RNA", at positions 100 to 334 of the family's 1533-position model. The record is from RNAcentral.
CGGGACGGGUGAGUAAUGUCUGGGAAACUGCCUGAUGAGGGGGGAUAACUACUGGAAACGGUAGCUAAUACCGCAUAACGUCGCAAGACCAAAGAGGGGGACCUUCGGGCCUCUUGCCAUCGGAUGUGCCCAGAUGGGAUUAGCUAGUAGGUGGGGUAACGGCUCACCUAGGCGACGAUCCCUAGCUGGUCUGAGAGGAUGACCAGCCACACUGGAACUGAGACACGGUCCAG